UACAGAGGUCCCGAGCGUUGUUCGGAUUCACUGGGCGUAAAGGGUGCGUAGGUGGCUUGAAAAGUUUGAUGUGAAAGCUCAGGGCUUAACCCUGAAAUGGCAUUGAAAACUGUCGGGCUGGAGGUUUGGAGGGGGGACUGGAAUUCUUGGUGUAGCAGUGAAAUGCGUAGAUAUCAAGAGGAACACCAGUGGCGAAGGCGAGUCCCUGGACAACACCUGACACUGAGGCACGAAAGCUAGGGGAGCAAACGGG
RNAcentral lists this ribosomal RNA (253 nucleotides) under uncultured bacterium. RNAcentral's name for it is "partial 16S ribosomal RNA". It matches the Rfam family "Bacterial small subunit ribosomal RNA", at positions 524 to 776 of the family's 1533-position model. The record is from RNAcentral.